UAACUCUCAUGGUACUGUGUUCUUCUGUCC
Molecule: non-coding RNA, 30 nt
Filed under: Mus musculus (house mouse)
Lineage: Eukaryota; Metazoa; Chordata; Mammalia; Rodentia; Muridae
Source: RNAcentral